CAGGAGAUAGUUUAUACAGAAUAUCAGCUUUGGGUGCUGAUGGUAGGGCUUAGAGCCUUUCUCUUGA
This 67-nucleotide transfer RNA is filed under the name Histiotus magellanicus (southern big-eared brown bat). RNAcentral describes it as "tRNA-Pro". It matches the Rfam family "tRNA". From Rfam's summary of the family: Transfer RNA (tRNA) molecules are approximately 80 nucleotides in length. Their secondary structure includes four short double-helical elements and three loops (D, anti-codon, and T loops). The record is from RNAcentral. Lineage: Eukaryota; Metazoa; Chordata; Mammalia; Chiroptera; Vespertilionidae.